GACGAACCGUGCGAACGUUGUUCGGAAUCACUGGGCGUAAAGGGCGCGUAGGCGGCCUUCUAAGUCGAACGUGAAAUCCCCGGGCUCAACCCGGGAACUGCGUCCGAUACUGGAAGGCUUGAAUCCGGGAGAGGGAUGCGGAAUUCCAGGUGUAGCGGUGAAAUGCGUAGAUAUCUGGAGGAACACCGGUGGCGAAGGCGGCAUCCUGGACCGGCAUUGACGCUGAGGCGCGAAAGCCAGGGGAGCAAACGGG
RNAcentral lists this ribosomal RNA (253 nucleotides) under uncultured bacterium. RNAcentral's name for it is "partial 16S ribosomal RNA". It matches the Rfam family "Bacterial small subunit ribosomal RNA", at positions 524 to 776 of the family's 1533-position model. The record is from RNAcentral.